Molecule: long non-coding RNA, 708 nt
Filed under: Pan troglodytes (chimpanzee)
Lineage: Eukaryota; Metazoa; Chordata; Mammalia; Primates; Hominidae
Description: lincRNA
Source: RNAcentral
GCGUUCUCUAAAGCUUCCAAAAGGAUCCAGUCCCAGAUACAUAUUACAUUUAGUCAUCAUGGCUCCUUUGUCUCCUCUGCACAAGGGGAAGCAGCCUGUGGCCCUCACCAGAUGCAGAUAUCCAAUCUUCCAGCAAACAGAAUCGGUCUGCCUGUCCUCACAUAAGCCAAUCCAUUCUCCAUCUCCUUUAAGCAGACAUAUACUGCCUCACGAGGAAACUGACAUCCAGUAAAAGAUCAACAUUAAACAUAAGCCUCGUAGCAGAACCAUAAUAGAACCCUGCACUCAUGAUGCCUUCUGAGGACUCUGCCCAUCUUCCUUGAUUAACUCCAGAAUACAGAAGCAACCCUAAAAAUGCAAGCAAACAUCCUGAAGAAGUCAGGAAUGGAUUUUUCUAAGACUCUGUACAGGCAUACCUCAAAGAUAUUGUGGGUUGGAUCCAGACUACUACAAUAAAGAGACUAUAAUAAUAAGUUAAGUCACAUAAAUUUUUUAUUUACUUAAAUUAUAUAUACACUAUAUUGUAGUCUAUUAAGUAUGCAAUAGCAUUAUGUCUUAAAAUUUGUGUAUAUCUUAAUUUAAACAUAUUUUAUUGUGAAAAAUGCUAACAAUCAUCUUGAGCCUUCAGUGAGUUAUAAUCUUUUUGCUGAUGGAGCAUCUUACCUCAAUUAUGGUGACUGUUGACAGAGUGGUGGUUGCUGAAGGAUG